Molecule: ribosomal RNA, 497 nt
Filed under: uncultured bacterium
Lineage: Bacteria
Description: partial 16S ribosomal RNA
Rfam family: Bacterial small subunit ribosomal RNA
Source: RNAcentral
GAUGAACGCUGGCGGCGUGCCUAAUACAUGCAAGUCGAGCGAACAGACGAGGAGCUUGCUCCUUCGACGUUAGCGGCGGACGGGUGAGUAACACGUAGGUAACCUACCUAUAAGACUGGGAUAACUUCGGGAAACCGGAGCUAAUACCGGAUAAUAUUUCGAACCGCAUGGUUCGAUAGUGAAAGAUGGCUUUGCUAUCACUUAUAGAUGGACCUGCGCCGUAUUAGCUAGUUGGUAAGGUAACGGCUUACCAAGGCAACGAUACGUAGCCGACCUGAGAGGGUGAUCGGCCACACUGGAACUGAGACACGGUCCAGACUCCUACGGGAGGCAGCAGUAGGGAAUCUUCCGCAAUGGGCGAAAGCCUGACGGAGCAACGCCGCGUUAGUGAUGAAGGUCUUCGGAUCGUAAAACUCUGUUAUUAGGGAAGAACAAACGUGUAAGUAACUGUGCACGUCUUGACGGUACCUAAUCAGAAAGCCACGGCUAACUACGUG